AACGCUGGCGGCGUGCCUAAUACAUGCAAGUCGAGCGGACCGGAUCGGAGCUUGCUCUGGUUUGGUCAGCGGCGGACGGGUGAGUAACACGUGGGCAACCUGCCCGCAAGACCGGGAUAACUCCGGGAAACCGGAGCUAAUACCGGAUAACACCGAAGACCGCAUGGUCUUUGGUUGAAAGGCGGCCUUUGGCUGUCACUUGCGGAUGGGCCCGCGGCGCAUUAGCUAGUUGGUGAGGUAACGGCUCACCAAGGCGACGAUGCGUAGCCGGCCUGAGAGGGUGACCGGCCACACUGGGACUGAGACACGGCCCAGACUCCUACGGGAGGCAGCAGUAGGGAAUCUUCCGCAAUGGGCGAAAGCCUGACGGAGCGACGCCGCGUGAGCGAAGAAGGCCUUCGGGUCGUAAAGCUCUGUUGUGAGGGACGAAGGAGCGCCGUUCGAAGAGGGCGGCGCGGUGACGGUACCUCACGAGGAAGCCCCGGCUAACUACGUGCCAGCAGCCGCGGUAAUACGUAGGGGGCGAGCGUUGUCCGGAAUUAUUGGGCGUAAAGCGCGCGCAGGCGGUUCCUUAAGUCUGAUGUGAAAGCCCACGGCCCAACCGUGGAGGGUCAUUGGAGACUGGGGGACUUGAGUGCAGGAGAGGAGAGCGGAAUUCCACGUGUAGCGGUGAAAUGCGUAGAGAUGUGGAGGAACCACCAGUGGCGAAGGCGGCUCUUUGGCCUGCCACUGACGCUGAGGCGCGAAAGCGUGGGGAGCAAACCGGAUUAGAUACUCUGGUAGUUCUCGCCGUAAACGAUGAGUGUUAAGUGUUAGAGGGGUCACACCCUUUUAGUGUUGCAGCUAACGCGAUAAAGCUAUCCGCUUGGGGAGUACGGUCGCAAGGCUGAAAUACAAAGGAAUUGACGGGGGCCCGCUCAAGCGGUGGAGCAUGUGGUUUAAUUCGAAGCAACGCGAAGAACCUUACCAGGUCUUGACAUUCCCUGACAACUCAAGAGAUUGGGCGUUCCCCUUUUGGGGGGACAGGGUGACAGGUGGAGCAUGGUUGUCGUCAGCUCGUGUCGUGAGAUGUUGGGUUAAGUCUUGCAACGAGCGCAACCCUUGCCUCUAGUUGCCAGCACGAAGGUGGGCACUCUAGAGGGACUGCCGGCGACAAGUCGGAGGAAGGUGGGGAUGACGUCAAAUCAUCAUGCCCCUUAUGACCUGGGCUACACACGUGCUACAAUGGGCGGUACAAAGGGCUGCGAACCCGCGAGGGGGAGCGAAUCCCAAAAAGCCGCUCUCAGUUCGGAUUGCAGGCUGCAACUCGCUUGCAUGAAGCCGGAAUCGCUAGUAAUCGCGGAUCAGCAUGCCGCGG
Molecule: ribosomal RNA, 1357 nt
Filed under: uncultured organism
Description: SSU rRNA
Rfam family: Bacterial small subunit ribosomal RNA
Source: RNAcentral